RNAcentral lists this long non-coding RNA (1409 nucleotides) under Chloebia gouldiae (Gouldian finch). Its description in RNAcentral is "Erythrura gouldiae (Gouldian finch) lncRNA (ENSEGOG00005005471.1)". Lineage: Eukaryota; Metazoa; Chordata; Aves; Passeriformes; Passeridae. The record is from RNAcentral.
GUCGGCAGCGGGAGGGGAGCGCCCCGGGAGCCGCCCCGGCCCCGCGGUGCCCGGCGGGGGCGGCACCCCCUGCCCCGAGCCCGGCCCGGGCCGCUCCCCCCGAGCUUCCCCCGAGCUCCCCCGAGCUUCCCCCGAGCUCCCCCCGAGCUUCCCCCGAAUUUCCCCCGAGCUUCUCCCGAGCUCCCCCCGAGCUCCCCCCGAGCUUCCCCCGAGCUCCCCCCGAGCUUCCCNNNNNNNNNNGCUCCCCCCGAGCUUCCCCCGAGCUCCCCCCGAGCUUCCCCCGAGCUUCCCCCGAAUUUCCCCCGAGCUUCUCCCGAGCUUCCCCCGAGUUUCCUCGAGCUCCCCCCGAACUUCCCCCGAGCUCCCCCCGAGCUUCCCCCGAGCUUCCCCCCGGAUUUCCCCCAGCCUUCCCCGAGUUUCCCCCGAGCUUCUCCCGAGUUUCCCCCGAGCUUCCCCCGAGCUUCUCCCGAGCUUCUCCCGAGCUUCCCCCGAGUUUUCCCCUGCCCCGGCUUUGAUUUCUUUCCCCCUUCGCUGCCAUUUAGGCUGAGGCGGGCGCUGCCUGCGCGGUGUCUGCGGGACCCCCGGGAUUGGCACGGCCGGGACCGGCACAGCCGGGACCCCCGGAGCUGGCACCGCCGGGACCCCCGGGACUGGCACGGCCACAUCCUCGAGGCUGGCACGGCCGGAUUCUCGGGGCUGGCACGGUGGGACCCUCGGAGCGGCACGGGUGGGACCCCCGGGGCUGGCACCGUGGGACCCCCAGGUCUGGCACAGUGGAUUUGGAGCGACCCCGCAGCCCCUCUCCUGCUCCGGACUCGGGCAGGAAAACGUCCGGGGACAGAGAGAUGUGUGACAGGGACAUGUGUGACACAGGGAUGUGUGACACAGGGAUGUGUGACCCGGCGGUGCCGCUCCCCAAAACUCGGCACGGUUGAUCCGUGAGGUCUCCUCGGAGCAUCAGCGCUAACCGGGACCUCAGAGCAUCCCUGGCCCCCAAAUCUCCCAGUGGGCACUCAGCCGCCCCCGGUGCCCGGGGAUGCUGCCGUGGCUGUCCCCGCGCUGGUCCCGUCCCCUUCCCAGGGGAGCCGCGGACAUCCAUCAGCUUGAUCGAUGGGGGUUACUCGCUCCUGUUCUCCCCGCCAGUUUAUUUUCUUAAACUACCGGGCAAAAAGCGUAAUGACGGAGCAGACAAACACCCUAACAAACAGACGACAGCUUUAUGGAUGGAGCCGCGCUCCGAGGGCUGAGCGGCGUUAAAAUCCGGGCUCCGCCGCCUUCAGCCAUCCUCGCUCCAGCUCGGGUCACUUCAGCCUCUUAAAACACAAAAACGAAAAUAAAACAAAAAACAAAACAAAACAAAACAAAAUCCAGCCUCGCCUGAGUUUUAGAGGAGGAGACAGGGAUUUAUU